AUUGAACGCUGGCGGAAUGCUUUACACAUGCAAGUCGAGCGGCAGCGCGGGGGCAACCCUGGCGGCGAGCGGCGAACGGGUGAGUAACAUAUCGGAACGUACCCCGUCGUGGGGGAUAACACAGCGAAAGCUGUGCUAAUACCGCAUACGACCUGAGGGUGAAAGCGGGGGAUCGCAAGACCUCGCGCGAUGGGAGCGGCCGAUAUCGGAUUAGCUUGUUGGUGAGGUAAAGGCUCACCAAGGCGACGAUCCGUAGCUGGUCUGAGAGGACGACCAGCCACACUGGAACUGAGACACGGUCCAGACUCCUACGGGAGGCAGCAGUGGGGAAUUUUGGGACAAUGGGGGGCAACCCUGAUCCAGCCAUGCCGCGUGAGUGAAGAAGGCCUC
This 390-nucleotide ribosomal RNA is filed under the name uncultured bacterium. RNAcentral's name for it is "bacterial SSU rRNA". It matches the Rfam family "Bacterial small subunit ribosomal RNA", at positions 29 to 418 of the family's 1533-position model. The record is from RNAcentral.